RNAcentral lists this ribosomal RNA (378 nucleotides) under uncultured Gemmatimonadota bacterium. Its description in RNAcentral is "bacterial SSU rRNA". It matches the Rfam family "Bacterial small subunit ribosomal RNA", at positions 521 to 896 of the family's 1533-position model. Lineage: Bacteria; Pseudomonadati; Gemmatimonadota. The record is from RNAcentral.
UAAGACGGAGGGCGCAAGCGUUGUUCGGAAUUACUGGGCGUAAAGGGCGGGCAGGCGGCCUGUUAAGUCGUGUGUGAAAAUCCGGGGCUCAACCCCGCGAAAUGCUCACGAUACUGGCAGACUGGAGACCGGUAGAGGCUAGCGGAAUUCCUGGUGUAGCGGUGGAAUGCGUAGAUAUCAGGAAGAACACCUGUGGCGAAGGCGGCUAGCUGGGCCGGGUCUGACGCUGAACCGCGAAAGCGUGGGGAGCAAACAGGAUUAGAUACCCUGGUAGUCCACGCUGUAAACGAUGGGCACUAGGUACCGGGUCUAUAGACGGAUUCGGUGCCGCAGCUAACGCAUUAAGUGCCCCGCCUGGGGAGUACGGUCGCAAGGCUG